CCCAAACGAAGCCUAGUGAUAGCUGGUUACUCGAGAAAAGGAUUUUAGUCCAGCUUAAAGUUCUAUAAAUAACUAAAAAUGAACUAUUAACUUUAAAGUAAUUCAAAUAAGGUACAGCCUAUUUGAAACAGGAUACAACCUAAAAAAUGGGUAAUAAACCACAACAUUAAUUAAGUAGGCCUAAAAGCAGCCACCUUUUAAAUAGCGUCAAAGCUUCAUUACUUCCUUACCUAAUACCUAAAAUACUCUUUAACCCCCCUAAACUAUCGAGUACUUCUAUAAGUAUAUAGAAAAUUUUAUGUCAAAACUAGUAACAAGAAUAUGAAUUUCACUAAAUGCAAAUGUAAGUCAGAAAGGACACUCCACUGACAAUUAACACCUAUGUACACCAAUUAAUAACCCCACAAGAAAAACUUAAUAUAUUUAAUGUUAACCUAACACAAGAGCAUUACAAGUCAGAUUUAAAGAAAAAGAAGGAACUCGGCAAAUCUUAACCCCGCCUGUUUACCAAAAACAUCGCCUCUUGAUUAAUUAUAAGAGGUCCAGCCUGCCCAGUGACUCUGUUCAACGGCCGCGGUAUCCUAACCGUGCGAAGGUAGCGUAAUCACUUGUUCUUUAAAUGAGGACUAGUAUGAAUGGCACCACGAAGGUUAUACUGUCUCCUUUUUCUAAUCAGUGAAACUAAUCCCCCCGUGAAGAAGCGGGGAUAAUACUAUAAGACGAGAAGACCCUAUGGAGCUUUAAACCUAAUAACACUGGCUUUCAAACUUUAUUACUCCAGAGUCGCUAGAACACAACACAGCCCCAUGAUUAUUAGUUUUAGGUUGGGGUGACCGCGGAGUAAAAAAUAACCUCCACAUUGCAUGGAAUAAUAUUCCUGAACCAAGAGUAACAGCUCUACGCACCAAAAAACUGACAUCAAAUGACCCAAUUUAUUGAUCAACGAACCAAGUUACCCUAGGGAUAACAGCGCAAUCCGUCUCAAGAGCUCCUAUCGCCAGACGGGUUUACGACCUCGAUGUUGGAUCAGGGUAUCCCAGUGGUGCAGCCGCUACUAAAGGUUCGUUUGUUCAACGAUUAAAACCCUACGUGAUCUG
RNAcentral lists this ribosomal RNA (1097 nucleotides) under Tlalocohyla picta (painted treefrog). RNAcentral's name for it is "partial 16S ribosomal RNA". It matches the Rfam family "Bacterial large subunit ribosomal RNA", at positions 828 to 2607 of the family's 2925-position model. The record is from RNAcentral. Lineage: Eukaryota; Metazoa; Chordata; Amphibia; Anura; Hylidae.